RNAcentral lists this ribosomal RNA (170 nucleotides) under uncultured rumen bacterium. Its description in RNAcentral is "partial 16S ribosomal RNA". It matches the Rfam family "Bacterial small subunit ribosomal RNA", at positions 338 to 524 of the family's 1533-position model. The record is from RNAcentral.
CCUACGGGAGGCAGCAGUGGGGGAUAUUGCGCAAUGGGGGCAACCCUGACGCAGCAACGCCGCGUGAAGGACGAAGGUCUUCGGAUUGUAAACUUCUUUUGUCAGGGACGAAAUCUAACGGUACCUGACGAAUAAGCUCCGGCUAACUACGUGCCAGCAGCCGCGGUAAU